AAACUCAAAGGAAUUGACGGGGACCCGCACAAGCGGUGGAGUAUGUGGUUUAAUUCGAUGCAACGCGAAAAACCUUACCAAGGUUUGAAAUCAUUUCAAAACUCUUUGAAAGAAGAGCCUCCUUCGGGAUGGAAUGACAGGUGGUGCAUGGCUGUCGUCAGCUCGUGUUGUGAAAUGUCAAGUUAAGUCUUGUAACGAGCGCAACCCAUGUCUUUUGUUGCUGUUUACAGUGCUUAAAAGAGACUGCCGCUCUACAGCGGAGGAAGGUGUGGAUGAUGUCAAGUCAGCAUGCCCCUUAUAUCUUGGGCUACACACGUACUACAAUGGUAGGGACAAUGAGUCGCAAACCUGCGAAGGCUAGCCAAUCUCAAAAACCCUAUCUCAGUUCGGAUAAU
RNAcentral lists this ribosomal RNA (395 nucleotides) under uncultured marine bacterium. RNAcentral describes it as "bacterial SSU rRNA". It matches the Rfam family "Bacterial small subunit ribosomal RNA", at positions 897 to 1301 of the family's 1533-position model. The record is from RNAcentral.